RNAcentral lists this ribosomal RNA (279 nucleotides) under uncultured bacterium. RNAcentral's name for it is "partial 16S ribosomal RNA". It matches the Rfam family "Bacterial small subunit ribosomal RNA", at positions 506 to 784 of the family's 1533-position model. The record is from RNAcentral.
UGCCAGCCGCCGCGGUAAUACGGAGGGGGUUAGCGUUGUUCGGAAUUACUGGGCGUAAAGCGCACGUAGGCGGAUUAGAAAGUUAGAGGUGAAAUCCCAGGGCUCAACCCUGGAACUGCCUUUAAAACUCCUAGUCUAGAGUUCGAGAGAGGUGAGUGGAACUCCAAGUGUAGAGGUGAAAUUCGUAGAUAUUUGGAGGAACACCAGUGGCGAAGGCGGCUCACUGGCUCGACACUGACGCUCAUGCACGAAAGCGUGGGGAGCAAACAGGAUUAGAUA